AGAGUUUGAUCCUGGCUCAGAUUGAACGCUGGCGGCAGGCCUAACACAUGCAAGUCGAACGGUAACAGGAAGCAGCUUGCUGCUUCGCUGACGAGUGGCGGACGGGUGAGUAAUGUCUGGGAAACUGCCUGAUGGAGGGGGAUAACUACUGGAAACGGUAGCUAAUACCGCAUAACGUCGCAAGACCAAAGAGGGGGACCUUCGGGCCUCUUGCCAUCGGAUGUGCCCAGAUGGGAUUAGCUAGUAGGUGGGGUAACGGCUCACCUAGGCGACGAUCCCUAGCUGGUCUGAGAGGAUGACCAGCCACACUGGAACUGAGACACGGUCCAGACUCCUACGGGAGGCAGCAGUGGGGAAUAUUGCACAAUGGGCGCAAGCCUGAUGCAGCCAUGCCGCGUGUGUGAAGAAGGCCUUCGGGUUGUAAAGCACUUUCAGCGGGGAGGAAGGCGAUAAGGUUAAUAACCUUGUCGAUUGACGUUACCCGCAGAAGAAGCACCGGCUAACUCCGUGCCAGCAGCCGCGGUAAUACGGAGGGUGCAAGCGUUAAUCGGAAUUACUGGGCGUAAAGCGCACGCAGGCGGUCUGUCAAGUCGGAUGUGAAAUCCCCGGGCUCAACCUGGGAACUGCAUUCGAAACUGGCAGGCUAGAGUCUUGUAGAGGGGGGUAGAAUUCCAGGUGUAGCGGUGAAAUGCGUAGAGAUCUGGAGGAAUACCGGUGGCGAAGGCGGCCCCCUGGACAAAGACUGACGCUCAGGUGCGAAAGCGUGGGGAGCAAACAGGAUUAGAUACCCUGGUAGUCCACGCCGUAAACGAUGUCGAUUUUGGAGGUUGUGCCCUUGAGGCGUGGCUUCCGGAGCUAACGCGUUAAAUCGACCGCCUGGGGAGUACGGCCGCAAGGUAAAACUCAAAUGAAUUGACGGGGGCCCGCACAAGCGGUGGAACAUGUGGGUUUAAUUCGAUGCAACGCGAAAAACCUUACCUGGGCUUGGAAUCCACAAAACUUUCCCAAAGAUGGAUUGGUGCCUUCCGGAAAUUGUAAACAAGGGCUGCAUGGCUUCCCCCACCUCCGGUUGGGAAAAGUUGGGGUUAAUCCCCCCACCAAGCGAACCCUUAUUCUUUUGUGCCAGGGGCCCGCCGGGAACCAAAAGGAAUCGCCUGUAAAUUGGGGGAGGAGUGGGGAAGAGCUCACAGUCUAUGGGCCUCUACACAAGGGCUACACACGUGCUACAAUGGCAUAUACAAAGAGAAGCGACCUCGCGAGAGCAAGCGGACCUCAUAAAGUAUGUCGUAGUCCGGAUUGGAGUCUGCAACUCGACUCCAUGAAGUCGGAAUCGCUAGUAAUCGUAGAUCAGAAUGCUACGGUGAAUACGUUCCCGGGCCUUGCACACACCGCCCGUC
This 1397-nucleotide ribosomal RNA is filed under the name uncultured bacterium. RNAcentral's name for it is "bacterial SSU rRNA". It matches the Rfam family "Bacterial small subunit ribosomal RNA". The record is from RNAcentral.